RNAcentral lists this long non-coding RNA (432 nucleotides) under Mytilus galloprovincialis (Mediterranean mussel). The record is from RNAcentral. Lineage: Eukaryota; Metazoa; Mollusca; Bivalvia; Mytilida; Mytilidae.
GAAUACGAUCUAAGAUAUUAUUCUCAAAUGUGUCUAGCUUGUCUGCAAGGCGUUGUAUUAUAUCAAAGUCACUAUGCCUUAAUGACUGCUCAAAUGUUAACGCAUGAUUAAAGACCAUGAAGUAAAGAAUUACUCCAAUGAAAAAUCCACAUAGAAACUUUUCGAGUAAAUGUCUUUCCAUUUUAUGAACUGCUACAUAUCUUUCGCUUAAUGGGACAAAACUAGACAUUUUUACUUAAGCCGGGACAAAAUAUUAAUAAUCCGAUUUUGUUGUUAUCCUAUUGUGUGGUCAUGAACUACAGGAUUUUCUCGAUGCACGUCUUAGGUCGUAGAAUAAGAAAUGAUGAAUUAUUGAUAUACAAAGUUAAUAAAUUCAUUUCGUGUUAAAUGCACGUGGUACAAAAAGGGAAGCAUCCUUAGGCAUAAAUCAUG